GUCCUUGUUUUAGUUGAUUUAGCCUUAGUGAGGGCAAGGCGAUGCUCGUGUAGAGAUUCCAUGGCCAGUUCCACUUUGGACAGACGAAGAUCCAAUGUGAGGUUACAUGCGUCUAUGUCUUUUUGACUGUCCAACGUUCUGGUCCUUUUUAGGAAGUCCAGAUAUUCGUCUGUGAGCCUACGAUAAUUUGUACAGGCUUUUACAAGAUUGUCCUGAAUUGUUAAGACUUGCUGAAGUUCAUUGGGAG
This 247-nucleotide long non-coding RNA is filed under the name Mytilus galloprovincialis (Mediterranean mussel). Lineage: Eukaryota; Metazoa; Mollusca; Bivalvia; Mytilida; Mytilidae. The record is from RNAcentral.